ACCUGAAAUAACUGGAGGGCUUUCUCCUGUCCUUGC
RNAcentral lists this small RNA (36 nucleotides) under Bombyx mori (domestic silkworm). RNAcentral's name for it is "ovarian small RNA-4409". Lineage: Eukaryota; Metazoa; Arthropoda; Insecta; Lepidoptera; Bombycidae. The record is from RNAcentral.